RNAcentral lists this long non-coding RNA (292 nucleotides) under Gorilla gorilla gorilla (western lowland gorilla). Its description in RNAcentral is "lncRNA (ENSGGOG00000044260.1)". The record is from RNAcentral. Lineage: Eukaryota; Metazoa; Chordata; Mammalia; Primates; Hominidae.
UCACAGAAGAAGGGUGUGGUUAGCACUACCUGGGAAAACUUCACAAAGGAGGUGGUGUUUGAGUGAAGUCUUGAGGUCCCCAGGGCUGCUUACCGGGCAGUGUGGAUGGCAUGCAGUGGGAUGGUGAAGGAUGGGGCCAGAGGAAGGAAGGACAUGCCCGCCCAGCCGUGUUUGGGAUGCUGCCUCCCUGGAGAGGGGUCAUGAAGCCUAGCAGGCAGUGGAGCCCAGGGUCCUUGAAGGUGUGCGCUGAAUCUCCAGGACUCAGCCUAGUGUAUAUUUUUGUGGAGUGAAG